RNAcentral lists this ribosomal RNA (274 nucleotides) under uncultured bacterium. RNAcentral's name for it is "partial 16S ribosomal RNA". It matches the Rfam family "Bacterial small subunit ribosomal RNA", at positions 523 to 796 of the family's 1533-position model. The record is from RNAcentral.
AUACGGAGGGUGCGCACGUUAAUCGGAAUUACUGGGCGUACAGCGCGCGUAGGCGGUUCGGUAAGUGGGAUGUGAAAGCCCCGGGCUCAACCCGGGAACUGCAUUGCAAACUGCCGAACUAGAGUACGGUAGAGGGAGGUAGAAUUUCCUGUGUAGCGGUGAAAUGCGUAGAUAUAGGAAGGAAUACCAGUGGCGAAGGCGGCUUCCUGGACUAAAACUGACGCUGAGGUACGAAAGCGUGGGGAGCAAACAGCAUUAGAAACCCGAGUAGUCC